UUGCUGCUUCGCUGACGAGUGGCGGACGGGUGAGUAAUGCUUUUUUUGGGAAACUGCCUGAUGGAGGGGGAUAACUACUGGAAACAGUAGCUAAUACCGCAUAACGUCGCAAGACCAAAGAGGGGGACCUUCGGGCCUCUUGCCAUCAGAUGUGCCCAGAUGGGAUUAGCUAGUAGGUGGGGUAACGGCUCACCUAGGCGACGAUCCCUAGCUGGUCUGAGAGGAUGACCAGCCACACUGGAACUGAGACACGGUCCAGACUCC
This 264-nucleotide ribosomal RNA is filed under the name uncultured Enterobacteriaceae bacterium. RNAcentral's name for it is "partial 16S ribosomal RNA". It matches the Rfam family "Bacterial small subunit ribosomal RNA", at positions 80 to 339 of the family's 1533-position model. Lineage: Bacteria; Pseudomonadati; Pseudomonadota; Gammaproteobacteria; Enterobacterales; Enterobacteriaceae. The record is from RNAcentral.